RNAcentral lists this ribosomal RNA (468 nucleotides) under uncultured bacterium. Its description in RNAcentral is "partial 16S ribosomal RNA". It matches the Rfam family "Bacterial small subunit ribosomal RNA", at positions 28 to 507 of the family's 1533-position model. The record is from RNAcentral.
GACGAACGCUGGCGGCGUGCUUAACACAUGCAAGUCGAACGGAAAGGCCCUGCUUUUGUGGGGUGCUCGAGUGGCGAACGGGUGAGUAACACGUGAGUAACCUGCCCUUGACUUUGGGAUAACUUCAGGAAACUGGGGCUAAUACCGGAUAGGAGCUCCUGCUGCAUGGUGGGGGUUGGAAAGUUUCGGCGGUUGGGGAUGGACUCGCGGCUUAUCAGCUUGUUGGUGGGGUAGUGGCUUACCAAGGCUUUGACGGGUAGCCGGCCUGAGAGGGUGAACGGCCACAUUGGGACUGAGAUACGGACCAGACUCCUACGGGAGGCAGCAGUGGGGAAUAUUGCACAAUGGGCGGAAGCCUGAUGCAGCAACGCCGCGUGCGGGAUGACGGCCUUCGGGUUGUAAACCGCUUUCGCCUGUGACGAAGCGUGAGUGACGGUAAUGGGUAAAGAAGCACCGGCUAACUACGUG